CACCAGUCGUGUGAGCUGUUUCUCCCUUGGCACGUUAUGACUGAGGUCUUUGUGGAUAUUCUGCGGUUAGCAGACUGCCGUGGCAAAGUCAAGCCAAUGGCCCAGGACAGGAAAGCUGGUGGAGAUGUUACAGAGCGGGUGUGACGGUCAGUUUACAGGAAAAAGAAGUCAUGCAGUUUUGGAACAUGUGGGGUUCACACAGUAAAUAAAAAUGGAGGCUCCCUCAAGACCUGUGUUUGUGAUUCAGUCCUGGAGCUGUCAGAACAUGAAGCUGUCUGGCUGUGUGUCUUGUGUCGAGUCCAAAGCCCAUCACCUCUAGCGUGCCACAGAUCUGCUUACCCAAAACCAGCUGGCUGCAACCAGCUAUCAAAGACCACAAAGAGAGGCCUCUCAGGAGAUGGAGGACCUGACAUUCCUCAGGAUGAGUGCCUGGAGAUAUGAAACUCCAAGUACAUAUGAAACACACAAGAGAUCGAAUGACAGACUGUUUAAUAUUAGCCACUGCCAUCAGGUAAAUGACUUGAGUCAUUCAGUCUGCAUCUGAAGAAAAUGUGCUGAAUAUGUGUCUGUUUUGUAAUCUGAAGGGAACAUGUUUGCUGUGCCUCUUGGGCAGCUCAGAGGUAAGAAGGUAAGUCUGUAGAGUUGUAUACAGCUCCCUCAUGCACUGUUGAUAGUUUGGUCAGUCUUGCAGUAAGGGCUGCAUUUUGCUUAAUGAGAAAAGCUUGAUGUAUGCAGUCACAGAUGUUCCUAACAUGUUCCACAGCUGGGAGUGAUCGAGACCAGCCACUCAACGCUGGU
Molecule: long non-coding RNA, 798 nt
Organism: Onychostoma macrolepis
Lineage: Eukaryota; Metazoa; Chordata; Actinopteri; Cypriniformes; Cyprinidae
Exons: 3
Source: RefSeq, a predicted model, not a curated record